Non-coding RNA from Microcebus murinus (gray mouse lemur), 563 nucleotides. The record is from RefSeq and is a predicted model, not a curated record. Lineage: Eukaryota; Metazoa; Chordata; Mammalia; Primates; Cheirogaleidae.
CGGAAAUCCCGGGCUCAGCCAGAGCACGCUGGGAGCUCUGGAGCUCAAUGACCCCUCAGAAGUUGACCUCUGAGGAGGGGCGGGGCUUUCAUCCUCAAGCACUGUCAGUCAGGCCAUAGGCCUGGAAGCCCAAGGGCCAUCAUCUGAGGAAGUUGCUGGAGGAAGCAAUCAGACGCUAAGCUAAGCCCAGAAGCUCUAGGAUGGCUCAGAGAACCACUGUGACACAUGUUGGAGCACCUGCUUGUCAUGCCAGUGCUCCUAACCCGGAGACACCCAGCAGCCGGAGAGAGUGCUCCGGAGGCAACACGUCACACAGCGCCGGGUUGGCACGUGGGGGGUCCUACCUCACCGCGAAGAGGUCCUGUAUGCUGGUCCUACAUGUUAAGAGGAAGAUGCCUACUUUUUUUCAUCCAGUGAUGGGGCAGUAACAGUGGACCUGAGCUUCGAGUCAAUUAACGUGUCUUGGUUACGCUUUUAGAAGUGGUUGCUGAAGAAAAACAGAAGAGCUUUUGAUUUUACCAGUUGAAAGAACUUUUCCAGAAGUCACAAAACGAUUAAAUACU